RNAcentral lists this ribosomal RNA (244 nucleotides) under uncultured Actinomycetales bacterium. RNAcentral's name for it is "partial 16S ribosomal RNA". It matches the Rfam family "Bacterial small subunit ribosomal RNA", at positions 89 to 334 of the family's 1533-position model. Lineage: Bacteria; Bacillati; Actinomycetota; Actinomycetes; Actinomycetales. The record is from RNAcentral.
GCUCGAGUGGCGAACGGGUGAGUAACACGUGAGUAACCUGCCCUUGACUUUGGGAUAACUUCAGGAAACUGGGGCUAAUACCGGAUAGGAGCUCCUGCUGCAUGGUGGGGGUUGGAAAGUUUCGGCGGUUGGGGAUGGACUCGCGGCUUAUCAGCUUGUUGGUGGGGUAGUGACUUACCAAGGCUUUGACGGGUAGCCGGCCUGAGAGGGUGACCGGCCACAUUGGGACUGAGAUACGGCCCAG